Molecule: long non-coding RNA, 1081 nt
Organism: Homo sapiens (human)
Lineage: Eukaryota; Metazoa; Chordata; Mammalia; Primates; Hominidae
Gene: PMS2P4
Product: PMS1 homolog 2, mismatch repair system component pseudogene 4
Source: Ensembl
GGCGGAUCGGGUAUUGAGUCCAUGGAGCGAGCUGAGAGCUAGAGUACAGAACCUGCUAAGGCCAUCAAACCUAUCGAUCGGAAGUCAGUCCAUCAGAUUUGCUCUGGGCCGGUGGUACUGAGUCUAAGCACUGCGGUGAAGGAGUUAGUAGAAAACAGUCUGGAUGCUGGUGCCACCAAUAUUGAUCUAAAGCUUAAGGACUAUGGAGUGGAUCUCAUUGAAGUUUCAGACAAUGGAUGUGGGGUAGAAGAAGAAAACUUUGAAGGCUUAACGAUGUCACCAUUUCUACCUGCCACGCAUCGGCGAAGGUUGGGACUCGACUGGUGUUUGAUCACGAUGGGAAAAUCAUCCAGAAAACCCCCUACCCCCACCCCAGAGGGACCACAGUCAGCGUGAAGCAGUUAUUUUCUACACUACCUGUGCACCAUAAGGAAUUUCAAAGGAAUAUUAAGAAGACGUGCCUGUUUCCCCUUCGCCUUCUGCCGUGAUUGUCAGUUUCCUGAGGCCUCCCCAGCCAUGCUUCCUGUACAGCCUGCAGAACUACUGUGAUGCCUGGAGCUGCAGCAGUGAUCUUGAGAUGAUGAGGCAAUAGCUGUGGUGGUCAUCUUGAGACCGUGAGGCAACAGCUGUGGCAGCCAUCUUGAGACCAUGAGGCAACAGCCUGGAGACAAAAGCCAACAUGUUCAAAAUGAUGCAGUAGAAAUGUUGGAAGUGGGUCUUUGAUUAUUCAUCCUUAGAUUCAAGGAUGGCCGUAUAAGAAAAUAAACAACUUGCUAAAACUGCUGAAACUCCCUCUGCUUGUGAGAUUUAAAAAAACUGGCUGAAAUUGGUUGGAACCAACAUGUCCAAUGGAGUCUGAAUAGAAAGAGCUUGCUGACAUCACAGCCCGAAUUUCCACCACAUUUCAUACUAACUCCCCCUGAAUUUGCAUAUGCAAACCACAAGCAAGCAUGAUCAAACAGACAACUGCGCGUGUCCGAGGACUUUCCAGAUCUCCCCUUUCCUUCCACCAAUCACUUACUAAUCUGAGAAUCCAUCCCCUAAUAAAAUCACUGCCUUAAAGCCUGCACAGGAAGACAAA